Molecule: ribosomal RNA, 450 nt
Filed under: uncultured Enterobacter sp.
Lineage: Bacteria; Pseudomonadati; Pseudomonadota; Gammaproteobacteria; Enterobacterales; Enterobacteriaceae
Description: bacterial SSU rRNA
Rfam family: Bacterial small subunit ribosomal RNA
Source: RNAcentral
UAAACCUCAGCAAUUGACGUUACCUGCAGAAGAAGCACCGGCUAACUCCGUGCCAGCAGCCGCGGUAAGUACGGAGGGUGCAAGCGUUAAUCCGGAAUUACUGGGCGUAAAGCGCAACGCAGGCGGUCUGUCAAGUCGGAUGUGAAAUCCCCGGGCUCAAACCUGGGAACUGCAUUCGAAACUGGCAGGCUAGAGUCUUGUAGAGGGGGGUAGAAUUACCAGGUGUAGCGGUGAAAAUGCGUAGAGAUCUGGAGGAAUACCCGGUGGCGAAGGCGGCCCCCUGGACAAAGACUGACGCUCAGGUGCGAAAGCGUGGGGAGCAAACAGGAUUAGAUACCCUGGUAGUCCACGCCGUAAACGAUGUCGACGUUGGAGGUUGUGCCCUUGAGGCGUGGCUUCCGGAGCUAACGCGUUAAGUCGGACCGCCUGGGGAGUACGGCCGCAAGGUUA